UAACACAUGCAAGUCGAGCGGAUGACGGGAGCUUGCUCCUUGAUUCAGCGGCGGACGGGUGAGUAAUGCCUAGGAAUCUGCCUGGUAGUGGGGGACAACGUUUCGAAAGGAACGCUAAUACCGCAUACGUCCUACGGGAGAAAGCAGGGGACCUUCGGGCCUUGCGCUAUCAGAUGAGCCUAGGUCGGAUUAGCUAGUUGGUGGGGUAAUGGCUCACCAAGGCGACGAUCCGUAACUGGUCUGAGAGGAUGAUCAGUCACACUGGAACUGAGACACGGUCCAGACUCCUACGGGAGGCAGCAGUGGGGAAUAUUGGACAAUGGGCGAAAGCCUGAUCCAGCCAUGCCGCGUGUGUGAAGAAGGUCUUCGGAUUGUAAAGCACUUUAAGUUGGGAGGAAGGGCAGUAAGUUAAUACCUUGCUGUUUUGACGUUACCGACAGAAUAAGCACCGGCUAACUCUGUGCCAGCAGCCGCGGUAAUACAGAGGGUGCAAGCGUUAAUCGGAAUUACUGGGCGUAAAGCGCGCGUAGGUGGUUUGUUAAGUUGGAUGUGAAAGCCCCGGGCUCAACCUGGGAACUGCAUCCAAAACUGGCAAGCUAGAGUACGGUAGAGGGUGGUGGAAUUUCCUGUGUAGCGGUGAAAUGCGUAGAUAUAGGAAGGAACACCAGUGGCGAAGGCGACCACCUGGACUGAUACUGACACUGA
Molecule: ribosomal RNA, 705 nt
Filed under: uncultured Pseudomonas sp.
Lineage: Bacteria; Pseudomonadati; Pseudomonadota; Gammaproteobacteria; Pseudomonadales; Pseudomonadaceae
Description: bacterial SSU rRNA
Rfam family: Bacterial small subunit ribosomal RNA
Source: RNAcentral